This 253-nucleotide ribosomal RNA is filed under the name uncultured bacterium. RNAcentral's name for it is "partial 16S ribosomal RNA". It matches the Rfam family "Bacterial small subunit ribosomal RNA", at positions 524 to 776 of the family's 1533-position model. The record is from RNAcentral.
GACAGAGGUCUCGAGCGUUAGGCGGAAUCACUGGGCUUAAAGCGUGUGUAGGUGGAUGCCUAAGUACCUUGUGAAAUCCCACGGCUUAACCGUGGAAUUGCUUGGUAUACUGGGUGUCUUGAGCCACUUAGGGGCAACCGGAACAAAUGGUGGAGCGGUGAAAUGCGUAGAUAUCAUUUGGAACGCCAAUGGUGAAAACAGGUUGCUGGGAGUGUGCUGACACUGAGACACGAAAGCCAGGGGAGCGAACGGG